UACCAGACUCCUACGGGAGGCAGCAGUGAGGAAUAUUGGUCAAUGGUCGGGAGGCUGAACCAGCCAAGUCGCGUGAGGGAAGACGGCCCUACGGGUUGUAAACCUCUUUUGUCGGGGAGCAAAGCGAACCACGUGUGGUUCAUUGAGAGUACCCGAAGAAAAAGCAUCGGCUAACUCCGUGCCAGCAGCCGCGGUAAUACGGAGGAUGCGAGCGUUAUCCGGAUUUAUUGGGUUUAAAGGGUGCGCAGGCGGAGGUGCAAGUCAGCGGUAAAAAUGCGGUGCUCAACGCCGUCGAGCCGUUGAAACUGGCGUUCUUGAGUGGGCGAGAAGUAUGCGGAAUGCGCGGUGUAGCGGUGAAAUGCAUAGAUAUCGCGCAGAACUCCGAUUGCGAAGGCAGCAUGCCGGCUCCACACUGACGCUGAGGCACGAAAGCGUGGGUAUCGAACAGGAUUAGAUACCCCCGUA
RNAcentral lists this ribosomal RNA (465 nucleotides) under uncultured bacterium. RNAcentral describes it as "bacterial SSU rRNA". It matches the Rfam family "Bacterial small subunit ribosomal RNA", at positions 329 to 792 of the family's 1533-position model. The record is from RNAcentral.